This 179-nucleotide unclassified non-coding RNA is filed under the name Clavicorona taxophila. RNAcentral's name for it is "internal transcribe spacer 1". Lineage: Eukaryota; Fungi; Basidiomycota; Agaricomycetes; Agaricales; Clavariaceae. The record is from RNAcentral.
UCGAUUCUGAAGGAUGUGCUGGCUUAACCGCAUGUGCACUCCGAAAUCUUCAUCCACCUGUGCACUYUAUGUAGGCUAAGAGGGAGCAAUCCUUCUCUGCCUAUGCUUUUAUAUACCCCAUAUUAAAAUCUUAUAGAAUGUUAAAGUAGGCUUGCUUAACACCRAGUCGAAAUUUAAAA